RNAcentral lists this ribosomal RNA (261 nucleotides) under uncultured prokaryote. RNAcentral's name for it is "partial 16S ribosomal RNA". It matches the Rfam family "Bacterial small subunit ribosomal RNA", at positions 524 to 784 of the family's 1533-position model. The record is from RNAcentral.
UACGUAGGUGGCAAGCGUUGUCCGGAAUUAUUGGGCGUAAAGAGCGCGUAGGUGGCUUGUCAGGUCUGAUGUGAAAACUUGGGGCUCAACCCCAAGCUUGCAUCGGAAACCGGCUUGCUAGAGUCUUGGAGAGGAGAGUGGAAUUCCUGGUGUAGCGGUGAAAUGCGUAGAUAUCAGGAGGAACACCGGUAGCGAAGGCGGCUCUCUGGAACAGUACUGACGCUGAGGCGCGAAAGCUAGGGGAGCGAACAGGAUUAGAUA